RNAcentral lists this long non-coding RNA (931 nucleotides) under Triticum aestivum (bread wheat). RNAcentral describes it as "long non-coding RNA (TAES_LNC006551)". The record is from RNAcentral. Lineage: Eukaryota; Viridiplantae; Streptophyta; Magnoliopsida; Poales; Poaceae.
UUUCAUUGAAGUAAUAAAACUAUUCCAAUUCGAAUAAUAGUUGAGAAAGAAUCGCAAUAAAUGCAAAGAUGGAACAUCUUGGAUACGGUAUUGAAGGAGUUGAACCAGGAUUUCCAAAUGGAUAGGAUAGGGUCAGUUACGAAGUAUAGCGUGAAACUGGGACGACGGGUGUGUAGGACUGAUAAAAUGAGCCCAAGCUACUAUGAGGCCCACAGACACGGAUGGGGCGCGAGGCCGGAAGUUUUUUUAUUUCUGAGGGUUUAUUAUUAUUAGGAGAAAUCCCGUUAUUAUCAAAAUAAAUCUCGCUCGGUGGCCACCAAGAUUAUUUGUGCUUGGGCUUCCAGAAAUGUCCUGCGCCACUCUAGCGCAACACGAAAGGUAAAGGAAAAAAAAUUGAAGGAAAAACGGCAGGAUUCGAACCGGCGCCUUUCCUUGAUAUCGAACAUAAUGCAUAAGAGGAUCCAUAAAGAACCAUAGGGUUUUCCGAGAAAAACCAGGGUACAUUAUCCCAAAAUGUUCCAUCUUCCUAGAAAAGUGGAUUCGUUCCAGAAAAGUUCCAGAAGAUGCUAAUGGUAAGCAAGAAGAUUGUUUACGAAGAAACAACAAUAAAAAUUCAUAUUCUGAUACAUAAGAGUUAUAUAGGAAUCGAAAUAGUCUUUUAUUUUCUUUUUGAAAAAAUGUAUUUCAUUGAAGUAAUAAAACCAUUCCAAUUCGAAUAAUAGUUGAGAAAGAAUCGCAAUAAAUGCAAAGAUGGAACAUCUUGGAUACGGUAUUGAAGGAGUUGAACCAGGAUUUCCAAAUGGAUAGGAUAGGGUCAGUUACGAAGUAUAGCGUGAAACUGGGCCGACGGGUGUGUAGGACUGAUAAAAUGAGCCCAAGCUACUAUGAGGCCCACAGACACAGAUGGGGCGCGAGGCUGGAAGUUUUUUUU